RNAcentral lists this ribosomal RNA (1141 nucleotides) under uncultured bacterium. RNAcentral's name for it is "bacterial SSU rRNA". It matches the Rfam family "Bacterial small subunit ribosomal RNA", at positions 8 to 1192 of the family's 1533-position model. The record is from RNAcentral.
AGAGUUUGAUCCUGGCUCAGGAUAAACGCUAGCGGCGUGCUUUAUGCAUGCAAGUCGAACGGUACCGAUGAACCAAGCUUGCUUGGAGCAUUGGGAGAGUGGCAAACGGGUGAGUAACGCGUAAGUAACCUGCCCCUAAGUGGGGGAUAACCCUGGGAAACCGGGGCUAAUACCGCAUGUGGUAAUGGAGGUAAUGCUUCAUUACUAAAGCCUUAGGGUGCUUAGGGAGGGGCUUGUGUCCGAUUAGCUAGUUGGUAGGGUAACGGCUUACCAAGGCGAUGAUCGGUAGCUGGUUUGAGAGGAUGGUCAGCCACACUGGGACUGAGACACGGCCCAGACUCCUACGGGAGGCAGCAGCAAGGAAUCUUGUGCAAUGGGCGAAAGCCUGACACAGCGACGUCGCGUGGGGGAGGAAGGCCUUCGGGUUGUAAACCCCUUUUCUCAGGGAAGAAUAAUGACGGUACCUGAGGAAUAAGUCUCGGCUAACUACGUGCCAGCAGCCGCGGUAAUACGUAGGAGGCGAGCGUUAUCCGGAUUUACUGGGCGUAAAGAGGGCGCAGGCGGCCUUUCAAGUCGGAUGUAAAAUCUCCCGGCUCAACUGGGAGGGACCAUUCGAUACUGUUGGGCUAGAGAGCAGCAGGGGGAGGUGGAAUUCCCGGUGUAGUGGUGAAAUACGUAGAUAUCGGGAGGAACACCAGUGGCGAAGGCGACCUCCUGGGCUGUUUCUGACGCUGAGGCCCGAGAGCGUGGGGAGCGAACAGGAUUGGAUACCCUGGUAGUCCACGCUGUAAACGAUGGACACUAGUAUGGGGAGUAUCGACCCUCUCCGUGCCGUAGUUAACGCUUUAAGCGUCCCGCCUGGGGAGUACGGUCGCAAGACUAAAACUCAAAGGAAUUGACGGGGGCUCGCACAAGCAGCGGAGCGUGUGGUUUAAUUCGAUGCACACGAAGAACCUUACCAAGCUUGACAUGUCGAAGUAGCGACCCGAAAGGUGAGCGACCUGUAAAUCAGGAGCCGUCACAGUGCUGCAUGCUGUCGUCAGCUCGUGCCUGAGGUGUUAGUAAGUCCUGUACGAGCGCACCCUUGUUGCAGUAAUUUCCUGCGACUGGCUGCAACGGAGUAGGUAGAUGACGUCAGUCA